RNAcentral lists this non-coding RNA (30 nucleotides) under Rattus norvegicus (Norway rat). The record is from RNAcentral. Lineage: Eukaryota; Metazoa; Chordata; Mammalia; Rodentia; Muridae.
UCUUCUUGUAAGAAGCCAAGAAGCAACGGA